RNAcentral lists this ribosomal RNA (254 nucleotides) under uncultured bacterium. Its description in RNAcentral is "partial 16S ribosomal RNA". It matches the Rfam family "Bacterial small subunit ribosomal RNA", at positions 524 to 776 of the family's 1533-position model. The record is from RNAcentral.
UACGUAGGGUGCAAGCGUUGUCCGGAAUUAUUGGGCGUAAAGAGCUCGUAGGCGGUCUGUCGCGUCGGCUGUGAAAACCCGGGGGCUCAACCCCGGGCCGCAGUCGAUACGGGCAGACUAGAGUGCGGUAGGGGAGACUGGAAUUCCUGGUGUAGCGGUGAAAUGCGCAGAUAUCAGGAGGAACACCGGUGGCGAAGGCGGUUCUCUGGGGAAUGUUCUGACGCUGAGGAGCGAAAGUGUGGGGAGCGAACAGG